GGUGAGUAACACGUGAGCAAUCUGCCCCUGACUCUGGGAUAAGCGCUGGAAACGGCGUCUAAUACUGGAUAUGAACCGUGGAGGCAUCUUCAACGGUUGGAAAGAUUUUUUGGUCAGGGAUGAGCUCGCGGCCUAUCAGCUUGUUGGUGAGGUAAUGGCUCACCAAGGCGUCGACGGGUAGCCGGCCUGAGAGGGUGACCGGCCACACUGGGACUGAGACACGGCCCAGACUCCUACGGGAGGCAGCAGUGGGGAAUAUUGCACAAUGGGCGCAAGCCUGAUGCAGCAACGCCGCGUGAGGGAUGACGGCCUUCGGGUUGUAAACCUCUUUUAGCAGGGAAGAAGCGAAAGUGACGGUACCUGCAGAAAAAGCGCCGGCUAACUACGUGCCAGCAGCCGCGGUAAUACGUAGGGCGCAAGCGUUAUCCGGAAUUAUUGGGCGUAAAGAGCUCGUAGGCGGUUUGUCGCGUCUGCUGUGAAAUCCCGAGGCUCAACCUCGGGUCUGCAGUGGGUACGGGCAGACUAGAGUGCGGUAGGGGAGAUUGGAAUUCCUGGUGUAGCGGUGGAAUGCGCAGAUAUCAGGAGGAACACCGAUGGCGAAGGCAGAUCUCUGGGCCGUAACUGACGCUGAGGAGCGAAAGGGGUGGGGGAGCAAACAGGCUUAGAUACCCUGGGUAGUCCACCCCGUAAACGUUGGGAACUAGUUGUGGGGUCCAUUCCACGGAUUCCGUGACGCAGCUAACGCAUUAAGUUCCCCGCCUGGGGAGUACGGCCGCAAGGCUAAAACUCAAAGGAAUUGACGGGGACCCGCACAAGCGGCGGAGCAUGCGGAUUAAUUCGAUGCAACGCGAGAAUCUU
RNAcentral lists this ribosomal RNA (858 nucleotides) under actinobacterium BAL360. RNAcentral's name for it is "bacterial SSU rRNA". It matches the Rfam family "Bacterial small subunit ribosomal RNA", at positions 105 to 971 of the family's 1533-position model. Lineage: Bacteria; Bacillati; Actinomycetota; Actinomycetes. The record is from RNAcentral.